CAUUUAUGCUGCAGCGCCCGGGGAGCAGGGAUUCGGGGUCUUGCUCAAGGGCACAUCAGUCGUGGUAUUAAAGGUGGACGAGAGCGCUCUACAUUCACUCCCCCCACCUACAAUCCCUGCCGG
This is a long non-coding RNA of Sinocyclocheilus grahami, 123 nucleotides long. RefSeq lists it as uncharacterized. The record is from RefSeq and is a predicted model, not a curated record. NCBI's taxonomy places the organism in Eukaryota, Metazoa, Chordata, Actinopteri, Cypriniformes, Cyprinidae. The transcript is spliced from 3 exons.